AGUGAACGCUGGCGGUAGGCCUAACACAUGCAAGUCGAACGGCAGCACAGGAGAGCUUGCUCUCUGGGUGGCGAGUGGCGGACGGGUGAGGAAUACAUCGGAAUCUACUUUGUCGUGGGGGAUAACGUAGGGAAACUUACGCUAAUACCGCAUACGACCUACGGGUGAAAGCAGGGGAUCUUCGGACCUUGCGCGAUUGAAUGAGCCGAUGUCGGAUUAGCUAGUUGGCGGGGUAAAGGCCCACCAAGGCGACGAUCCGUAGCUGGUCUGAGAGGAUGAUCAGCCACACUGGAACUGAGACACGGUCCAGACUCCUACGGGAGGCAGCAGUGGGGAAUAUUGGACAAUGGGCGCAAGCCUGAUCCAGCCAUACCGCGUGGGUGAAGAAGGCCUUCGGGUUGUAAAGCCCUUUUGUUGGGAAAGAAAUCCAGCCGGCUAAUACCUGGUUGGGAUGACGGUACCCAAAGAAUAAGCACCGGCUAACUUCGUGCCAGCAGCCGCGGUAAUACGAAGGGUGCAAGCGUUACUCGGAAUUACUGGGCGUAAAGCGUGCGUAGGUGGUUAUUUAAGUCCGUUGUGAAAGCCCUGGGCUCAACCUGGGAACUGCAGUGGAUACUGGAUGACUAGAAUGUGGUAGAGGGUAGCGGAAUUCCUGGUGUAGCAGUGAAAAUGCGUAGAGAUCAGGAGGAACAUCCAUGGCGAAGGCGGCUACCUGGACCACAUUGACACUGGAGGCACGAAAGCGUGGGGGAGCAAACAGGAUUAGGAUACUCCGGUAGUGCCAGGGCGAAUUCCUCAGUGGAUAUCAUGCUUAUCAAUUCCGUCGACCUCGAGG
RNAcentral lists this ribosomal RNA (835 nucleotides) under uncultured Stenotrophomonas sp. RNAcentral's name for it is "bacterial SSU rRNA". It matches the Rfam family "Bacterial small subunit ribosomal RNA". The record is from RNAcentral. Lineage: Bacteria; Pseudomonadati; Pseudomonadota; Gammaproteobacteria; Lysobacterales; Lysobacteraceae.